AACGAACGCUGGCGGCAUGCCUAACACAUGCAAGUCGAACGAGACCUUCGGGUCUAGUGGCGCACGGGUGCGUAACGCGUGGGAACCUGCCCUUAGGUUCGGUAUAACUCCCCGAAAGGGGUGCUAAUACCGGUUAAUGUCUUCGGACCAAGGAGUUAUCGCCUUUGGGUGGGCCCGCGUUGGAUUAGCUAGUUGGUAGGGUAAAAGCCUACCAAGGCGACGAUCCAUAGCUGGUCUGAGAGGAUGAUCAGCCACACUGGGAAUGAGACACGGCCCAGACUCCUACGGGAGGCAGCAGUGGGGAAUAUUGGACACUGGGCGAUAGCCUGAUCCAGCAAUGCCGCGUGAGUGAUGAAGGCCUUAGGGUUGUAAAGCUCUUUUACCCGGGAUGAUAAUGACAGUACCGGGAGAAUAAGCUCCGGCUAACUACGUG
RNAcentral lists this ribosomal RNA (433 nucleotides) under uncultured bacterium. RNAcentral describes it as "partial 16S ribosomal RNA". It matches the Rfam family "Bacterial small subunit ribosomal RNA", at positions 29 to 507 of the family's 1533-position model. The record is from RNAcentral.